GACGCGUUGAUGCGUUACGCGUGACGGAAGACGAUGCGAUAGCCAAUGAAACUCUUGCUUGCCCGGAAAUAAUAAAUACAUAACUUCCGUCUCGCGUAAAAUGUUGAACUCAAUCCAACUUUUGUCGCGUGGUACAGAAACGGAAGUUGGAAGACACGUAAUUCUAGUAAAUUUUCAGAACUUGCGCGAGACAUUACCGUGUCUCUUGAAGUAUAUAAUUUUAUCAUUUUGUUUUUAUUAUUAUUUUCCAAAGAAGACAUUUGUGCAGUGUACUGUGAUCAAAUAAGAAAAGAUUUAUUAUAGAUUGCUAUAUAAAAUGGAUGUAAACGAAUAUGGUGCAAUGAUUGUAAUACCAAAGUGUACAGUGGAGAAGAACAUGAAUGUUAUAUAGAUAAUAACAAUAAAGAUGAUUACAUAGAAAGGUUAAUCGCAGAAGUCUUUGUAAGAGAGAGUUUGUGGAACUCUACAUUGCCUUACAAGCUUAGAGGUCCAGCAAAUAUGAAAACAUUAUGGUCUGAAGUUGAUGCUUGUUUAGAGACACCUACUGGAAGCAGCCAAAUAAAAUGGAAAAGUUUAAGAGAUCGUUUUGUUAAAGAACAUUAUUUACAAUCAGCUUAUAUACCAAGUGGCAGUGGAGCUGUGAAAAGAAAAAGCAGUUGGCCAUUAUAUGAUACUUUACGUUUUCUGAUUCCUACAGUAAAUUAUAGAAGAACUAAAAGUAAUCUUGAAAAUAUACACCCAGAUUAUACAAUUAUCACUUCCAAAUAAAUCUUGGUUUUUUACUACUAAUUCUGGUCUUACUAACA
Linepithema humile (Argentine ant) is the source of this 806-nucleotide non-coding RNA. NCBI's taxonomy places the organism in Eukaryota, Metazoa, Arthropoda, Insecta, Hymenoptera, Formicidae. The record is from RefSeq and is a predicted model, not a curated record.